This 467-nucleotide ribosomal RNA is filed under the name uncultured bacterium. Its description in RNAcentral is "partial 16S ribosomal RNA". It matches the Rfam family "Bacterial small subunit ribosomal RNA", at positions 28 to 507 of the family's 1533-position model. The record is from RNAcentral.
GAUGAACGCUGGCGGCGUGCUUAACACAUGCAAGUCGAACGGUGAAGCCGAGCUUGCCCUGUGGUUCCGUUGCGAACGGGUGAGUAACUCGUGAGCACCCUGCCCCUGACUCUGAGAUAAGCGCUGUAAACGGCGUCUAACACUGGAUAUUUGCUGCGACCGCAUGUUCAGCCGUUUGAAAGAUUUCUCGGUCUGGGUUGGGUUCACGGCCUAUCAGCUUGUUGGUGAGGGAAUGGCUCACCAAGGCGUCGACGGGUAGCCGCACUGAGAGGGUGACCGGCCACACUGGGACUAAGACAAGGCCCAGAAUCCAACGGAAGGCAGCAGUGGGGAAUAUUGCACAAUAGGCGAAAGCCUGAUGCAGUAACGACGCGUGGGAGAUGACGGCAUUCGGGUUGUAAACCUCUUUGUGCAGGGAAGAAGCGAACGUGACGGUACCUGCUGAAAAAGCCCCGGCUAACUACGUG